This 573-nucleotide ribosomal RNA is filed under the name uncultured bacterium. RNAcentral describes it as "partial 16S ribosomal RNA". It matches the Rfam family "Bacterial small subunit ribosomal RNA", at positions 355 to 932 of the family's 1533-position model. The record is from RNAcentral.
UGAGGAAUAUUGGUCAAUGGGCGAGAGCCUGAACCAGCCAAAUCGCGUGAAGGAAGACUGCCUUAUGGGUUGUAAACUUCUUUUAUACAGGAAUAAAAAAGGGGACGUGUCCCUUAUUGCAUGUACUGUAUGAAUAAGCAUCGGCUAACUCCGUGCCAGCAGCCGCGGUAAUACGGAGGAUGCGAGCGUUAUCCGGAUUUAUUGGGUUUAAAGGGUGCGCAGGCGGGCUUUUAAGUCAGCGGUGAAAUCUCGGGGCUUAACUCCGAAACUGCCGUUGAAACUGGGAGUCUUGAGUAUGGAUGAAGUAGGCGGAAUUCGUUGUGUAGCGGUGACAUGCUUAGAUAUAACGAGGAACUCCGAUUGCGUAGGCAGCUUACUAAGCCAUAACUGACGCUCAAGCACGAAAGCGUGGGGAUCAAACAGGAUUAGAUACCCCUGGUAGUCCACGCCGUAAACGAUGAUUACUAGUUGUAUGCGAUAUACCGUAUGUGACUAAGCGAAAGCGAUAAGUAAUCCACCUGGGGAGUACGCCGGCAACGGUGAAACUCAAAUGAAUUGACGGGGUCAUAGCUG